RNAcentral lists this ribosomal RNA (693 nucleotides) under Salmonella enterica subsp. enterica serovar Typhimurium. RNAcentral describes it as "partial 23S ribosomal RNA". It matches the Rfam family "Bacterial large subunit ribosomal RNA", at positions 1247 to 1918 of the family's 2925-position model. Lineage: Bacteria; Pseudomonadati; Pseudomonadota; Gammaproteobacteria; Enterobacterales; Enterobacteriaceae. The record is from RNAcentral.
GCGUCGAAGGUAUACCGGUAAGGAGUGCUGGAGCGAAUAGAAGUGAGCAUGCAGGCAUGAGUAGCGAUAAUUAAUGUGAGAAUCAUUAACGCCGUAAACCCAAGGUUUCCUACGCGAUGCUCGUCAUCGUAGGGUUAGUCGGGUCCUAAGCCGAGUCCGAAAGGGGUAGGCGAUGGCAAAUUGGUUAAUAUUCCAAUACCAACAUUAGUGUGCGAUGGAAGGACGCUUAGGGCUAAGGGGGCUAGCGGAUGGAAGUGCUAGUCUAAGGUCAUAGGAGGUUAUACAGGCAAAUCCGUAUAACAAUACUCCGAGAACUGAAAGGCUUUUUGAAGUCUUCGGAUGGAUAGAAGAACCCCUGAUGCCGUCGAGCCAAGAAAAGUUUCUAAGUUUAGCUAAUGUUGCCCGUACCGUAAACCGACACAGGUGGGUGGGAUGAGUAUUCUAAGGCGCGUGGAAGAACUCUCUUUAAGGAACUCUGCAAAAUAGCACCGUAUCUUCGGUAUAAGGUGUGGUUCGCUUCGUACUAGGAUUUACUCCGAAAGCGAAGAAACUUACAACAAAGAGUCCCUCCCGACUGUUUACCAAAAACACAGCACUCUGCUAACUCGUAAGAGGAUGUAUAGGGUGUGACGCCUGCCCGGUGCUCGAAGGUUAAUUGAUGGGGUUAGCAUUAGCGAAGCUCUUGAUCGAAGC